Molecule: long non-coding RNA, 172 nt
Filed under: Phascolarctos cinereus (koala)
Lineage: Eukaryota; Metazoa; Chordata; Mammalia; Diprotodontia; Phascolarctidae
Description: lncRNA (ENSPCIG00000036161.1)
Source: RNAcentral
UGCUCUAGCAUGCACACAGAGAGAUAAAAAUGUUUCUGCAAAAGAGGGGUGAACAUGAAGAACAGGUACUCUGAUGAGCAAAGCUUCCUGUGAACCAAAGCUAAAUAGUAAACCAAACUCUCUCCAUUGCUAUGGCAGCUUCAUAAUGGAGCUCACCUUCCAGCAGUCCUAA